RNAcentral lists this ribosomal RNA (252 nucleotides) under uncultured bacterium. RNAcentral's name for it is "partial 16S ribosomal RNA". It matches the Rfam family "Bacterial small subunit ribosomal RNA", at positions 524 to 776 of the family's 1533-position model. The record is from RNAcentral.
CACGUAGGGGACGAGCGUUGUCCGGAUUCAUUGGGCGUAAAGCGCACGUAGGCGGCUUACUAAGUCAGGGGUGAAAUCCUGGAGCUCAACUCCAGAACUGCCUUUGAUACUGGUGAGCUUGAGUCCGGAAGAGGUGAGUGGAACUGCGAGUGUAGAGGUGAAAUUCGUAGAUAUUCGCAAGAACACCAGUGGCGAAGGCGGCUCACUGGUCCGGUACUGACGCUGAGGUGCGAAAGCGUGGGAGCAAACAGG